Molecule: ribosomal RNA, 460 nt
Filed under: uncultured bacterium
Lineage: Bacteria
Description: partial 16S ribosomal RNA
Rfam family: Bacterial small subunit ribosomal RNA
Source: RNAcentral
CCUACGUGAGGCAGCAGUGAGGAAUAUUGGUCAAUGGGCGCGAGCCUGAACCAGCCAAGUAGCGUGAAGGAUGACUGCCCUACGGGUUGUAAACUUCUUUUAUAAAGGAAUAAAGUGAGGCACGUGUGCCUUUUUGUAUGUACUUUAUGAAUAAGGAUCGGCUAACUCCGUGCCAGCAGCCGCGGUAAUACGGAGGAUCCGAGCGUUAUCCGGAUUUAUUGGGUUUAAAGGGAGAGUAGAUGGGUUGUUAAGUCAGUUGUGAAAGUUUGCGGCUCAACCGUAAAAUUGCAAUUGAUACUGGCAGUCUUGAGUACAGUUGAGGUAGGCGGAAUUCGUGGUGUAGCGGUGAAAUGCUUAGAUAUCACGAAGAACUCCGAUUGCGAAGGCAGCUUACUAAACUUCCACUGACAUUGAUGCUCGAAAGUGUGGGUAUCAAACAGGAUUAGAUACCCUAGUAGUC